Molecule: long non-coding RNA, 2601 nt
Organism: Microplitis demolitor
Lineage: Eukaryota; Metazoa; Arthropoda; Insecta; Hymenoptera; Braconidae
Exons: 4
Source: RefSeq, a predicted model, not a curated record
GUAACACCUCAUUAUCCUUUGACACUUUUAGCAUCCUCAGAGUCCAAUUCAAAUAAAUAAACUAAUUAGAGCCACUUAUAAAACUUAAACUCCGCGAUUUUAAUUUUCCGCUUAUAAUUUAUCUCUUUCGCAAUUGUCUGCCUUCAAGAACGAACCUCUCCUUGCUGCUUCCUUAACUAACAGCCUUGAAAAAAGCCAUCACAACUGCUAUUGAAUUUCAAACGUGGAGCUACCGUCGGAUGCAGAGAUGCGGAUGUCAAUAAUGAGUUUUUAUGAGAAAUUUACAGCUCAUGACAGCAACUAGAACCAAGUUUUGCUCCAAAGCUAAUGCUUCGAUUAAUUAUUCAUUAAGAGUAUGGCUGGUGUUUGAGAAAUUAUUGAUGAAUGAAAUGAGAAAUGACCCAAGCAGUAGAAAAUUGAUCCCUUGAAUGCCGAAUGAAUGAGUGAUAAUUUGAUGGGAGUUUUUACCUGCUGAGUGUAGGCGAACAAAUAUUUAGAAGCUGCUUACAAGACAGCGAAUGAUUGAAAAUUGACCUUACUUAACUUGACCGCAACUACCAAAUUAUUUUAAAUACUAUUCAUUUAUUCUCUACGGUUUUAAAAAUUGCAAUUAAGUUUAUAAGGUUUAUGACAAUACGCGUUUAAGUACUUUUCAAUAAAAUAAUUCUGAUAUUUUUUUAAUAAAUUGAAUUCAACAAAUAAACAAAUUAUUCAAGGCUGAGUAAUGAUAGAAUGAGAUGUCAGGGAUUUUGGUUUUAUUAUCAGAAUUUUUAAAUGAUCAAGUAUCAAAUUUUAAAAUAAAAAAUAUUUUUCGAGCUCAUUUUUAGUUUUACGCUUAGUCAUUCCGUCGAGGCUAGGCAAGUUGCCGUAUCUUGAUCCUGAAGAAAUCAAAAUACUGGUGGCCUGUCUGGUCAAGGCCGAACCAGCGGUCGCGUUUCACGUUAAAAUCAUUUUUUAUUUUGAAAAUUUAGGGUCAAAAUGAGCUCAUUUAAGAAAAUGAACAGUAAAUUUAAAAUGUUGAUUAUUAGUUCAGAGGUUAAUUAGUGGUGGGGCCUUGCAGUGCCAGGGAUCUGGCUGCCGUCGGGUCGCCACUGAAUGCUCCUUCAGGACAUUUAUUAAUCCGACGAUAGACCUCACAGCGAGUUGGCCACUAUGGGCACAUCCCUUUUUAGGGUUCUGCAUUAUCACUAAAAAUAGCGAGCAGAUAGAGCCGUUCGGUUUCGUACUGUUGGGCGUGCAGAGUUGACAGUAUGGACAGCACGCGGUCAUUGAAUUGAGAAGUUGCAUAUUUUGUAAUUUAUUUUUUUUUUCUUUUUAGUUCAAUGAAUUUAACAGUUUUUUAAAAAUGCUAAUUUAACAUUUUAAAAUAUAAAUUAACGCAGCUUCUCUGUUCAAAAUGAUUCUCUAUCUGCUACAGUCUCCGAAUCGGUCGCUUUUCCGACAGAGUCACUGUGUCCCCCAGUUUCUUCAGGACUUGUGGAUGCACCUCUGUAGUAAGGGCAACUGGGCCGGAAUCGGCUGUUGGGGGGACUCUUCCAGAUUUGAAGUAGUGAAAAUAUUGAGCACUUCUUAUUAGUGAAUGUACGUCGCUCUUGAAAAACACCGGUUUGCAUCGCUCUGGUAAUUGGUGUAUUUUCACUAGUUCAUUUUUAGGGAGAUGGGAAGCUAAAUGUGCGCUGGUGCAGUUAAACGAUGCCUGUCCCAAGUGUGUCACCGAGGGAGAGGAUUCACCGGAGUUUUAAAUGUUGUGAGCACCUAGAGUCAUUUUUUGUCCGCCGUUAUUUUAUUUAUUACUAUAUUACAUUACAUUAUAUGACAUUACAUGAAUUUGACAAGAUCUGGCAUCCGAUUUCACAUAUGAAUUUUUUUGCAUUGAUAAAUCGUUCGGAAAAACCUCUGAUCGGUGAUGAAAAUUUGUUGAUUGUCAUUUUUUAAAUUUUAAAUGUUUAAAUAAUUUAUUAUUAGUAUAACAGAGGCCAGUUGCUCCUUUGGGCAAUUUGAGUUCGCUGUCGACUACUGCGUUGAUCGCUGUUGGUCCUGCCUAUCAUGUCCUUUGACUCUGUCAAACCAUAUAGGUGUCAACACUUCUCGUCAGAGUCAAGCGGAAGUUCGAUUGCCGUGAGCAAAUUUAGGAUUUUGUUUGUUGAUAAAUAAAGUAAAUUCUGCGUCGAUGAAUGAAAAAUAGCCUCUGUCCGCGUUUGAAAUUUUCAAGUCACGGUUCGAAACAUUAUUAGAGCCACCGAAGGCUCCGGUCGCGAUAGUCAAUUUUUAUUUUUUAAUUACUUUUUAUUCAAUUUAGCUUUUAUUAGAACAGGGAAACAGUGGCUAAGUGUGCUCCUGUGGGCAAUCCGAGCCUGCUGUCGACUGCUACGUUGAUCGCUGUUGGUCCUGCCUAUCAUGUCCUUUGACUCUGUCAAACCAUAUAGGUGUCAACACUUCUCGUCAGAGUCAAGCGGAAACUCGGUUGCCGUGAGCAAAUUUAGGGUUUUGUGCGCCGAUUUAUAAAACUACUUAUACACUUUUCUAUUAAAUGUAAAUUAUUUUUUGUGAAUAAACAGCCACUGUUCGCGUUGACAAAUAGCCAGGUCCGUGGUUCGAUAU